This 250-nucleotide ribosomal RNA is filed under the name uncultured bacterium. Its description in RNAcentral is "partial 16S ribosomal RNA". It matches the Rfam family "Bacterial small subunit ribosomal RNA", at positions 524 to 773 of the family's 1533-position model. The record is from RNAcentral.
UACGUAGGUGGCAAGCGUUGUCCGGAUUUAUUGGGCGUAAAGCGCGCGCAGGCGGUUUCUUAAGUCUGAUGUGAAAGCCCUCGGCUUAACCGAGGAGGGUCAUUGGAAACUGGGAGACUUGAGUGCAGAAGAGGAAAGUGGAAUUCCAAGUGUAGCGGUGAAAUGCGUAGAGAUUUGGAGGAAUACCAGUGGCGAAGGCGACUUUCUGGUCUGUAACUGACGCUGAGGCGCGAAAGCGUGGGGAGCAAAC